Long non-coding RNA from Homarus americanus (American lobster), 542 nucleotides. RefSeq lists it as uncharacterized. The record is from RefSeq and is a predicted model, not a curated record. NCBI's taxonomy places the organism in Eukaryota, Metazoa, Arthropoda, Malacostraca, Decapoda, Nephropidae. The transcript has 2 exons.
AGCGUGAAGGUAUAAAUAUCGUCGCCCCAGUUGAAAAUGUCACAGAGCAGCUGAGCUCCUUGUUGGAUCCACAAUACUCACGAAUCUUCAAUAUGAAAGUCGCUUACCUGGCCCUAGCCCUCCUGCUGGUGCUGUCGGCGGUGCUCACCUCCGUCAGCUCUGACCCCGUUGCCGACCCAGAACCUUUCAAGAAGUUCAAGAAGAGGAAAUUCGGCGGACAUGGGCAUCGUCGUCCCUCCUUCCACCGCGUCGCACGACCUGUGUACAUCCAUCAUGGCGGCUACGGACACGGCUAGUAAGGAACAUCUUGAGCUAACACAACACAAGAACGCCUUGAGAAGAUUGCCAUCAACUUUAUGGAUAUUCUUCUCAACGUCUUCUCUGUAUCCUCCUGGUGGCUGGAGCCUCAACUAUUCUACUAAAGGUCCUUCCUCCCUCUUGUGUUGUGACCCCCGCCAGUAAGUGAGAGUCGCUCUCUGUCUUAAGGCUAACAUGUACACCAAACUUUCGACUCUUAUACAAAAUACAUUAUAAAAAUAUUG